GGAUGUUAACACGCAGCCUGAACGGAGACGGGGGCAACCCUGGUGGCGAUGUGGCGAACGGGUGAGUAAUGUAUCGGAACGUGCCCAGUCGUGGGGGAUAACUAUCCGAAAGGAUAGCUAAUACCGCAUACGUCCUGAGGGAGAAAGCGGGGGAUCGCAAGACCUCGCGCGAUUGGAGCGGCCGAUAUCGGAUUAGCUAGUUGGUGGGGUAAAGGCUCACCAAGGCGACGAUCCGUAGCGGGUCUGAGAGGACGACCCGCCACGCUGGAACUGAGACACGGUCCAGACUCCUACGGGAGGCAGCAGUGGGGAAUUUUGGACAAUGGGCGUAAGCCUGAUCCAGCCAUUCCGCGUGAGUGAAGAAGGCCUUCGGGUUGUAAAGCUCUUUCAGCGGGAACGAAACGGUCGAUCCUAAUACGGUCGGCUAAUGACGGUACCUGCAGAAGAAGCACCGGCUAACUACGUGCCAAGCAGCCGCGGUAAUACGUAGGGUGCGAGCGUUAAUCGGAAUUACUGGGCGUAAAGCGUGCGCAGGCGGUGACAUAAGACAGAUGUGAAAUCCCCCGGGCUCAACCUGGGAACUGCGUUUGUGACUGUGUCGCUCGAGUGUAGCAGAGGGGGGUGGAAUUCCACGUGUAGCAGUGAAAUGCGUAGAGAUGUGGAGGAACACCGAUGGCGAAGGCAGCCCCCUGGGUUAACACUGACGCUCAUGCACGAAAGCGUGGGGAGCAAACAGGAUUAGAUAGCCUGGUAGUCCACGCCCUAAACGAUGCCAACUAGGUGUUGGGGAAGGAGACUUCCUUAGUGCCGUAGCUAACGCGUGAAGUUGGCCGCCUGGGGAGUACGGUCGCAAGAUUAAACUCAAAGGAAUUGACGGGGACCCGCACAGCGGUGGAUGAUGGGAUAAUCGAUGCACGCGAAAACUACGUACCUGACAGUCCGAUCCGAGAGAUUGGAGCUAACAGGCGACCAGCAGCUUACUGUGCUUUUAUUAUUCCUUUUUUCGUUUGUUUUUUUUUUUUUUGUGG
RNAcentral lists this ribosomal RNA (1028 nucleotides) under uncultured Rhodocyclaceae bacterium. RNAcentral describes it as "bacterial SSU rRNA". It matches the Rfam family "Bacterial small subunit ribosomal RNA", at positions 45 to 1035 of the family's 1533-position model. Lineage: Bacteria; Pseudomonadati; Pseudomonadota; Betaproteobacteria; Rhodocyclales; Rhodocyclaceae. The record is from RNAcentral.